UUAAGUUCAGCGGGUAGUCCUACCUGAUUUGAGGUCAAGAAGUUCAUUAAGUGUUGUCCAACAGUGGACAGUUAGUAGCUGAACUAGCCAGAGAGCAAUCAUCACAGUGUAGAUAAUUAUCACACUAGUGACGGGACUGCAAACGGUUCCGCUAAUGCAUUUCAGGAGAGCCGACCUCUACAGGCCCGCAAACCCCCAAC
RNAcentral lists this unclassified non-coding RNA (200 nucleotides) under Agaricales sp. Its description in RNAcentral is "partial internal transcribed spacer 2". Lineage: Eukaryota; Fungi; Basidiomycota; Agaricomycetes; Agaricales. The record is from RNAcentral.